This 233-nucleotide ribosomal RNA is filed under the name uncultured bacterium. Its description in RNAcentral is "partial 16S ribosomal RNA". It matches the Rfam family "Bacterial small subunit ribosomal RNA", at positions 524 to 756 of the family's 1533-position model. The record is from RNAcentral.
UACGUAGGGUGCGAGCGUUGUCCGGAAUUAUUGGGCGUAAAGGGCUCGUAGGCGGUUUGUCGCGUCGGGAGUGAAAUCCACUGGCUUAACUGGUGGCUUGCUUUCGAUACGGGCAGACUGGAGGUAUGCAGGGGAGAACGGAAUUCCUGGUGUAGCGGUGAAAUGCGCAGAUAUCAGGAGGAACACCGGUGGCGAAGGCGGUUCUCUGGGCAUGUCCUGACGCUGAGGAGCGA